GAGAUUUGUAUAACUGGUUUUUGGAGAUAGGGUCUUACUACAUAGUCCUGGCUGGCCUUGAACUAGCUAUGUGCAUCUCAUUGUCCUUGAAGCCACUGAGAUUCCCCUUCCUACGUCUCCCAAAUUCUGGGGUCAAAGGUGUGGGCCAUCUCGUGUAGUCUAGACUAAAUCUUUUGGCUUUGCUGCUACCUAAUAACCUGGGGGCCGGUCAAACCAAACUGGAAAUUCUUAUAGCUCAAAAGAGACUUGUCCAGCCUCCCCACCACACCCCAGCAACCCUCAAGGCUUCUUGGACUGAAGUCUGCUGUGUUGAGUGUAGAUAGAUCCUCAAGUCAGGGAACUGAGGCUGGAGCGGUAGCUCCAUAGUUAAGACUACUUCCCUCUUCCAGAGGACAAAAGUUCAGUUCCCGGCACCCACACCAUGUGGCUCCCAACCACCUUUAACUCCAGCUCCAAAGGAUCCAGUGCCCUCUGCUGUACGUGCUCACACAGAAGUGCCCACCUACUUUUAAGUAAAAAUAACUCCUGAGAAAAUAACUUGACUCGAGACAGAAAGAUGAUAAAAACAAUGGGUCAGGGUGGGGUGAGACAGGGGUUCCAAUCCAGCUGUGUCUCAUAUGUAACUUGGCAGUGCAGUUUCCUGGUGCCUCAAGAUGAAUCCUAGGUGUGUGAUCUACUUCUGUUGGCUUAGGUCAUGGCUCAGCAAGAGAUUUUCAGUGAUUAUACCAAGUUCGUCAGUACACAACUCUGAUCCCAGAGAAUCGGAGGCAGGGGGACGGAGUGGCCUGGGCUAUUUACUAAGACCUUAUCACAAAAACAAAAACCAGGCUAUCCUUUAAAUGGCUUAUUGGCUGUGCUGCCCACAACACUUCCCAGAAUCCUAUGUGCAUAGCCCAGUAGCCGAGAGAAUCAAACACAUCCCGGACAUCCUGUCUCAGAACUGGUGUGGCUGCAGAGUCAGACACCGGGGUUUAUACCAGGUAACCCAGGGUCAUCAGCACUUGUCAUUCUGGUCACAUUAGGGUGCUGUGGCCUCUCUCAGGAGGUGUUAGUCCUCAUCUUGCGUCUGAGGGAUGUUUUACUUCUUGGUCAGGAAUUAGGUUGUAGAAGGAUCUCUGUCACUGAUCCUAACUUUUAAUAGCUGGCAAAUGUGCUACUCUGUUGCCUUUCCAUAUCUCUGGGGACCUUGCUAGAAAAGCAAGUCUUUGGGCCCAACAUUGACCAGCCUCGCCAUCUUGGAUCACCUGUAUUAGCCUUCCAAACAGUGGGCUUUGCUUUGUCUCCACCAUCUUUGAUCAGCCUCCAAAUUGGCAUCCAACAAGGAUGAGUUUUGCCUGCUCUUCAUCCUGGUGGUAUCUGCACUCUGCUCUAACCAGAGCAGCUUUCCUCUCUCCGCCAUCUUGGAUCCUCCAUAUUGGCCUUUCAGGUUCUCAGAGACCACACUGUAACAUUGGGAACCACCAUGACAGCACUUGUCAGCCAUCAACAGUGACCCAGAAGAGCUAUUUGACUCCCAGGUCCAGCCCAAACACAGGACCAGCAAACUCAGUGAUGGAGUGCUUCCUCUCCCAGGAGCCGAAGCCAGGAAUGGUUGGUUAGACAUGACUGGAUCCAGCUGUGAGGAUAGAACCUUCCAGAAAUGUGUUUCAGGUGACCCUCAACUACCUCAGGUUUGAAGACCCUAAGUUAAAAUUCGAUUGCCACACUAGGGACAAACCGAGGGAUGUGGUUAAAUCUUGGUGAUAACCUAAAUGUCUCAAGCUUAUAACAAACUCAAACCGCGCAGGGGUGGGGUUGGUUUUUGUUUGCUUAUGCCCGCCCCUUCUGUUUUUAACCCUUUCCACUGUUUUCCAUUAGAGUAGUCCCUGUAAGCAAAUCUCACUUUUCACCGAGUGCCUACCUUCCCAGGGCAGGUAGCCACUGGCUCUUGUUUCCUCCCCCACAGGACUUUUAUUAUGGAAUGAAGACCUUUCUUUGUAUAAUGCAUUGCAUCUGUGGUUUCAUUUUUUUUUUCCCAAUAAAUAUGUCAUCCUGACUGUGGAGAACACGGGCG
This 2053-nucleotide long non-coding RNA is filed under the name Rattus norvegicus (Norway rat). RNAcentral's name for it is "long non-coding RNA NONRATT007399". The record is from RNAcentral. Lineage: Eukaryota; Metazoa; Chordata; Mammalia; Rodentia; Muridae.